Molecule: ribosomal RNA, 698 nt
Filed under: Pseudomonas aeruginosa
Lineage: Bacteria; Pseudomonadati; Pseudomonadota; Gammaproteobacteria; Pseudomonadales; Pseudomonadaceae
Description: partial 23S ribosomal RNA
Rfam family: Bacterial large subunit ribosomal RNA
Source: RNAcentral
CGUCCGUCGUGAAAAGGGAAACAACCCAGACCGCCAGCUAAGGUCCCAAAGUUGUGGUUAAGUGGUAAACGAUGUGGGAAGGCUUAGACAGCUAGGAGGUUGGCUUAGAAGCAGCCAUCCUUUAAAGAAAGCGUAAUAGCUCACUAGUCGAGUCGGCCUGCGCGGAAGAUGUAACGGGGCUCAAACCACACACCGAAGCUGCGGGUGUCACGUAAGUGACGCGGUAGAGGAGCGUUCUGUAAGCCUGUGAAGGUGAGUUGAGAAGCUUGCUGGAGGUAUCAGAAGUGCGAAUGCUGACAUGAGUAACGACAAUGGGUGUGAAAAACCCCCACGCCGAAAGACCAAGGGUUCCUGCGCAACGUUAAUCGACGCAGGGUUAGUCGGUUCCUAAGGCGAGGCUGAAAAGCGUAGUCGAUGGGAAACAGGUUAAUAUUCCUGUACUUCUGGUUACUGCGAUGGAGGGACGGAGAAGGCUAGGCCAGCUUGGCGUUGGUUGUCCAAGUUUAAGGUGGUAGGCUGAAAUCUUAGGUAAAUCCGGGGUUUCAAGGCCGAGAGCUGAUGACGAGUCGUCUUUUAGAUGACGAAGUGGUUGAUGCCAUGCUUCCAAGAAAAGCUUCUAAGCUUCAGGUAACCAGGAACCGUACCCCAAACCGACACAGGUGGUCGGGUAGAGAAUACCAAGGCGCUUGAGAGAACUC